RNAcentral lists this long non-coding RNA (229 nucleotides) under Elaeis guineensis (African oil palm). Its description in RNAcentral is "long non-coding RNA (EGUI_LNC058680)". The record is from RNAcentral. Lineage: Eukaryota; Viridiplantae; Streptophyta; Magnoliopsida; Arecales; Arecaceae.
ACCAAAGAGUGUGGAGAUACUAGCAUGGUAUGCAAGUGAGACGUAAGGGUAUAUCUCACUGAAUGUGAUCAAUUGCUGAGCACUCUACUGUCAAGAGUAGCUCGUGAAGGAUAUGAAUAAAAGUAUCUCUCUGAUCUGAGAUCAUCAUGAUAACUUACAAGAAACUCACUGUACUUUGAUGCUGAAUUAUCUGAAUUUAUAAUUCAGUGAUGAAAGAUUUAUGGGCACA